This 496-nucleotide ribosomal RNA is filed under the name uncultured bacterium. RNAcentral describes it as "partial 16S ribosomal RNA". It matches the Rfam family "Bacterial small subunit ribosomal RNA", at positions 28 to 506 of the family's 1533-position model. The record is from RNAcentral.
GAUGAACGCUGGCGGCGUGCCUAAUACAUGCAAGUCGAGCGAACAGAUGAGGAGCUUGCUCCUCUGACGUUAGCGGCGGACGGGUGAGUAACACGUGGAUAACCUACCUAUAAGACUGGGAUAACUUCGGGAAACCGGAGCUAAUACCGGAUAAUAUAUUGAACCGCAUGGUUCAAUAGUGAAAGACGGUUUUGCUGUCACUUAUAGAUGGACCCGCGCCGCAUUAGCUAGUUGGUAAGGUAACGGCUUACCAAGGCGACGAUGCGUAGCCGACCUGAGAGGGUGAUCGGCCACACUGGAACUAAGACACGGUCCAGACUCCUACGGGAGGCAGCAGUAGGGAAUCUUCCGCAAUGGGCGAAAGCCUGACGGAGCAACGCCGCGUGAGUGAUGAAGGUCUUCGGAUCGUAAAACUCUGUUAUUAGGGAAGAACAAAUGUGUAAGUAACUAUGCACGUCUUGACGGUACCUAAUCAGAAAGCCACGGCUAACUACGU